AUACUUACCUGGCAGGGGAGAUUCCAUGAUCACGAAGGUGGUUUUCCCAGGUUGAGGCUCAUCCAUUGCACUUCAGGUGUGCUGAUUCCUGCGAUUUCCCCAAAUGUGGAAAAACCUGAUUGCAUAAUUUGUGGUAGUGAGGGACUGUGUUUGCACUUUCCCCUG
This 165-nucleotide small nuclear RNA is filed under the name Pogona vitticeps (central bearded dragon). RNAcentral describes it as "U1 spliceosomal RNA (ENSPVIG00000009737.1)". It matches the Rfam family "U1 spliceosomal RNA". From Rfam's summary of the family: U1 is a small nuclear RNA (snRNA) component of the spliceosome (involved in pre-mRNA splicing). Its 5' end forms complementary base pairs with the 5' splice junction, thus defining the 5' donor site of an intron. Lineage: Eukaryota; Metazoa; Chordata; Lepidosauria; Squamata; Agamidae. The record is from Rfam by way of RNAcentral.